GACGAACGCUGGCGGCGUGCUUAACACAUGCAAGUCGAACGCUCCGCAAGGGGAGUGGCGCACGGGUGAGUAACGCGUGGGAAUCUACCUAUUAGUAAGGAAUAACAGUUGGAAACGACUGCUAAUACCUUAUACGCCCUACGGGGGAAAGAUUUAUCGCUAAUAGAUGAGCCCGCGUAAGAUUAGCUAGUUGGUGAGGUAAUGGCUCACCAAGGCUACGAUCUUUAGCUGGUCUGAGAGGAUGAUCAGCCACACUGGAACUGAGACACGGUCCAGACUCCUACGGGAGGCAGCAGUGGGGAAUAUUGGACAAUGGGCGAAAGCCUGAUCCAGUCAUGCCGCGUGAAUGAUGAAGGCCUUAGGGUUGUAAAGUUCUUUCGCCGCCGAGGAUAAUGACGGUAAGCGGAUAAGAAGCCCCGGCUAACUUCGUGCCAGCCGCCGCCGUAA
RNAcentral lists this ribosomal RNA (447 nucleotides) under uncultured bacterium. Its description in RNAcentral is "partial 16S ribosomal RNA". It matches the Rfam family "Bacterial small subunit ribosomal RNA", at positions 28 to 523 of the family's 1533-position model. The record is from RNAcentral.